RNAcentral lists this long non-coding RNA (1395 nucleotides) under Chloebia gouldiae (Gouldian finch). RNAcentral describes it as "Erythrura gouldiae (Gouldian finch) lncRNA (ENSEGOG00005018921.1)". Lineage: Eukaryota; Metazoa; Chordata; Aves; Passeriformes; Passeridae. The record is from RNAcentral.
AUGGCCGUGGUCACUGAGGCGGUCACUCUGGCGGUCACUGUGCUGGUCACUCCCGCGGUCACUCCCGUGGUCACUCCCGUGGUCACUCCUGCGGUCACUCCCGUGGUCACUCCCGCGGUCACUCCUGUGGUCACUCUGGCGGUCACUGUUCUGGUCACUGCGCUGGUCACUCCCGCGGUCACUCCCGUGGUCACUGUGCCGGUCACUCCCGCGGUCACUCCCGCGGUCACUCCCGCGGUCACUGCGCUGGUCACUGCGCUGGUCACUCUGGCGGUCACUCCCGUGGUCACUGUGCCGGUCACUCCCGUGGUCACUGUGCUGGUCACUGCGCUGGUCACUGCGCCGGUCACUGUUCUGGUCACUCGGGCGGUCACUCCCGUGGUCACUGUUCUGGUCACUGCGCCGGUCACUCGGGCGGUCACUCGGGUGGUCACUCCCGCGGUCACUGCGCUGGUCACUCAGGCGGUCACUCAGGCGGUCACUCGGGUGGUCACUCCCGCGGUCACUCCCGCGGUCACUCUGGCGGUCACUCCCGUGGUCACUGCGCUGGUCACUGCGCUGGUCACUGCGCCGGUCACUGUUCUGGUCACUGCGCCGGUCACUGUUCUGGUCACUCCCGUGGUCACUCUGGCGGUCACUCGGGCGGUCACUCCCGCGGUCACUCCCGCGGUCACUCCCGUGGUCACUGUUCUGGUCACUCCCGUGGUCACUCGGGCCGUCACUGUGCCGGUCACUCCCACGGUCACUGUGCUGGUCACUCCCGUGGUCACUGUUCUGGUCACUCCCGUGGUCACUGUGCCGGUCACUCCCGUGGUCACUCUGGCGGUCACUCGGGCGGUCACUGCGGCGGUCACUCGGGCAGUCACUGUUCUGGUCACUCCCGUGGUCACUCCCGUGGUCACUCGGGCGGUCACUCGGGCGGUCACUCCCGCGGUCACUGCGCUGGUCACUCGGGCGGUCACUCUGGCGGUCACUCGGGCGGUCACUCAGGCGGUCACUGUGCUGGUCACUGCGCUGGUCACUCGGGCGGUCACUCCCGUGGUCACUGUUCUGGUCACUCCCACGGUCACUGUGCUGGUCACUCCCGUGGUCACUGUGCCGGUCACUCCCGUGGUCACUCCCGUGGUCACUCUGGCGGUCACUCGGGCGCAGCUCGGCCGAGAGCCGCUCGAAGGCGGCCAGCAUGGCGGCGCGGACGCGCUCGGUCAGCGCCGGCACCUCGGCCGCGCCCAGGCCGCGCGUCGGCAGCGGCGGCAGCACCUGGAUCACGCACUGCCCUGGGGGGAGGGCGUCAGACCAUGCGGGGACCCCAGACCCACAGAGACACGGGACCCCAGACCCAGAGAGACAGAGACCCCAGACCCACAGAGACCCCAGACCCACGGGGACCCCAGA